Small nuclear RNA from Mugil cephalus (flathead mullet), 170 nucleotides. RefSeq annotates it as U1 spliceosomal RNA. The transcript has a single exon. The record is from RefSeq and is a predicted model, not a curated record. Lineage: Eukaryota; Metazoa; Chordata; Actinopteri; Mugiliformes; Mugilidae.
AAACUUUACCGGCAGGGGAGAUAACCGAGAUCAAAAGGCGGUUCACCCCAGGGCGACGGCUCCGCCGCCAAUGCACUCCAGGCGUGCUGACACCGCAGCGAUUCCCCAAAUGUGGGAAUCUCGACUGCAUAAUUUCUGGUAGUGGGGGACUGCUUUCGCGCUCUCACCCU